RNAcentral lists this ribosomal RNA (774 nucleotides) under uncultured Neocallimastigales. RNAcentral describes it as "partial large subunit ribosomal RNA". It matches the Rfam family "Eukaryotic large subunit ribosomal RNA", at positions 25 to 614 of the family's 3401-position model. Lineage: Eukaryota; Fungi; Neocallimastigomycota; Neocallimastigomycetes; Neocallimastigales. The record is from RNAcentral.
CCGCAUCUGUGCAUGCAGCAUAUCAAUAAGCGGAGGAAAAGAAACUAACAAGGAUUCCCCUAGUAACGGCGAGUGAAGCGGGAAGAGCUCAAAUUUGAAAUCUUAAGGGUUUCCCUUUACGAAUUGUAGUUUAAAGAAGUGUUUUCUGUUGAGGUUUUGGUAAAAGUUCUUUGGAAUAGGACAUCAUAGAGGGUGAGAAUCCCGUAUUUGACCUUUACUUUCAACUUUGUGAUACACUUUCAAAGAGUCGGAUUGUUUGGGAAUGCAGUCCAAAAUGGGUGGUAAAUUUCAUCUAAAGCUAAAUAUUGGCGAGAGACCGAUAGCGAACAAGUACCGUGAGGGAAAGAUGAAAAGAACUUUGAAAAGAGAGUUAAACAGUACGUGAAAUUGUCAAAAGGGAAGCGUUUGACACCAGUGUUGUUUUUCUGAAAAUCAAUUAAAGAACUGUUUAUGCUAAGCUGUUUAGACUUUAUCAGCUAACUGUUUAGUUUUGAGCUUUUCUUUAAUGCACUUUUCAGUUAACAAGUCAACAUCAAUUUCUUUUGCUGUAAAAAAGCUUGAGGAAGGUGGCUUGAGAUUCGUCUUAAGUGUUUAUAGCCUCUUGCCUAUGCAGUCGGAGAGAUUGAGGUCUGCAGCGUAGAUCCUUCGGGGCUAAAUGCAUUUGUGCUAAGUUAUAGCAUUUUAUAGACAACUUGUUGACUAUGAUUUGUCUUGUAGCUUACUCGCUUAUGUUAUUUUACCUACGCUUAGGAUGUUGAGUCAUCACACAUCUCU